AUUUUUCAUUGCGGAGGAAAAGAAACCAACAGGGAUUACCUCAGUAACGGCGAGUGAAGCGGUAACAGCUCAAAUUUGAAAGCUAGCUCUUUUAGGGUUCGCAUUGUAAUUUGUAGAAGAUGCUUCGGGUGUGGCCCCGGUCUAAGUUCCUUGGAACAGGACGUCAUAGAGGGUGAGAAUCCCGUAUGUGACUGGGUGCUUUCGCUCAUGUGAAGCUCUUUCGACGAGUCGAGUUGUUUGGGAAUGCAGCUCAAAAUGGGUGGUAAAUUUCAUCUAAAGCUAAAUAUUGGCCAGAGACCGAUAGCGCACAAGUAGAGUGAUCGAAAGAUGAAAAGCACUUUGGAAAGAGAGUUAAACAGUACGUGAAAUUGUUGAAAGGGAAGCGCUUGCAACCAGACUUGCGCGCUGAUGAUCAUCCGGGCUUCUGCCCGGUGCACUCGUCUGCGCUCAGGCCAGCAUCGGUUUCGGUGGUGGGAUAAAGGCCUUGGGAAUGUAGCUCCUCUCGGGGAGUGUUAUAGCCCUCGGUGCAAUGCCGCCUACCGGGACCGAGGACCGCGCUCGGCUAGUAUGCUGC
RNAcentral lists this ribosomal RNA (574 nucleotides) under Cadophora malorum. Its description in RNAcentral is "eukaryotic LSU rRNA". It matches the Rfam family "Eukaryotic large subunit ribosomal RNA", at positions 40 to 629 of the family's 3401-position model. Lineage: Eukaryota; Fungi; Ascomycota; Leotiomycetes; Helotiales; Ploettnerulaceae. The record is from RNAcentral.